CUCUUCCAUUUAUGUGCCAAACUAUUGAUCCGUGCCGCUUCUGUGCACCCCCCCAAACACAAGAUCAUAAAAGUAGUUAUAGGUCCAGAAAUGAUUCUCAGCCUAAAUGAACCCCCUUUUGGGAUGCUAUCUAUAUUGGGGGGGGGGGAGCGGGCUCACAAAACAACUCUAAAGCAAGUCCUGUAGAAAACUGGUGAGCUCCGGCGAUUAAGGGUUAGGUGGACUGUCACAGGUCCAAAGUUCAAGAGGCACCGAAACCCGACUGGACUAAACACGUGGUUCGACCCAGCUGCGACAGCGCAGGGAAACCGAUCGGGAGGGGGCAUUCUCCAGCGAGACGGCCGAAGCCAGAGCCUUCGUCCUCUGACUCAUCCGGAGAUAAGUAACCACAGGGGCCGCAAGUUCCAAGCCAGCCGCUCCUGGAUUUGGUUUGCAAGGGAAAAUGUGUUGUUUCGGCUGCAGGGUCACUCACAGGAGUUCCCAUCGUGGCGCAAUGGUUAACGAAUCCGACUAGGAACCAUGAGGUUGCAGGCAUAACCCAUUUACUGUGAAAGCAAGAAAACAAGGACUACACUGUGAAGCCAUCAUACUGAACUAGAGAAACCAGUAGAAGUUACAGGCAAUACGAGUUUAUCAUAUGAAAGAAAAGGAAAGGCAUGACCAACUGGCAACUAAAUAAACAUGUCAAAACACCCUGCUCACCCCAGUGACACAGCAAGAGCCAAACCCAGAGAAGGAAAAUGUUUAUAAAAACCCACAGACUAAGAAUAGAAUAAGACUGGUCCUCAAAGCUUCAAGGUAUUAAGAAAAAUUUGUGUAAGCGAUAUUGAGAAAUAGUUCCCAUUACAAAGGAAAAUGUUCUUUGCUUCUCACUUUGGACAUAUGGGCUGAAACAAAAUGGUAUGAGAACAGAACACUACAGAAAAUAAGAAUAUACUAUAUAAAUCCAUAUGUAGUACAGUACUUGGCAAAUAGAAGGCACAAUAAAUAUUUAUUUAAUGACUAAAUGAAUAGACUUCCCACCUUUUUUCCCCAUGCUAUGUCCUCGGAAGGCAUGAGUCUCAAGUCCUUUAACUUAAAUAAAAAGUAACUUCCUGGAAUUAAAAAUUUAUGGCUGAAGACCUCAACAAAGAAAAAGAAGA
This is a long non-coding RNA of Sus scrofa (pig), 1142 nucleotides long. RefSeq lists it as uncharacterized. Lineage: Eukaryota; Metazoa; Chordata; Mammalia; Artiodactyla; Suidae. The record is from RefSeq and is a predicted model, not a curated record.